RNAcentral lists this ribosomal RNA (433 nucleotides) under uncultured bacterium. RNAcentral's name for it is "partial 16S ribosomal RNA". It matches the Rfam family "Bacterial small subunit ribosomal RNA", at positions 29 to 507 of the family's 1533-position model. The record is from RNAcentral.
AACGAACGCUGGCGGCAUGCCUAACACAUGCAAGUCGAACGAGACCUUCGGGUCUAGUGGCGCACGGGUGCGUAACGCGUGGGAACCUGCCCUUAGGUUCGGAAUAACUCCCCGAAAGGGGUGCUAAUACCGGAUAAUGUCUUCGGACCAAAGAUUUAUCGCCUUUGGAUGGGCCCGCGUUGGAUUAGCUAGUUGGUAGGGUAAAAGCCUACCAAGGCGACGAUCCAUAGCUGGUCUGAGAGGAUGAUCAGCCACACUGGGACUGAGACACGGACCAGACUCCUACGGGAGGCAGCAGUGGGGAAUAUUGGACAAUGGGCGAAAGCCUGAUCCAGCAAUGCCGCGUGAGUGAUGAAGGCCUUAGGGUUGUAAAGCCCUUUUACCCGGGAUGAUAAUGACAGUACCGGGAGAAUAAGCUCCGGCUAACUCCGUG